Molecule: ribosomal RNA, 559 nt
Filed under: uncultured Alphaproteobacteria bacterium
Lineage: Bacteria; Pseudomonadati; Pseudomonadota; Alphaproteobacteria
Description: bacterial SSU rRNA
Rfam family: Bacterial small subunit ribosomal RNA
Source: RNAcentral
CCUACGGGAGGCAGCAGUGGGGAAUAUUGGACAAUGGGGGCAACCCUGAUCCAGCAAUGCCGCGUGUGUGAUGAAGGCCUUAGGGUUGUAAAGCACUUUCACUGGUGAAGAUGAUGACGGUAACCAGAGAAGAAGCCCCGGCUAACUUCGUGCCAGCAGCCGCGGUAAUACGAAGGGGGCGAGCGUUGUUCGGAAUUACUGGGCGUAAAGGGAGCGCAGGCGGUUCAUUAAGUUAGGCGUGAAAUCCCCGGGCUCAACCUGGGAACUGCGCUUAAUACUGAUGAACUAGAAAACAGGAGAGGGUAGUGGAAUUUCCAGUGUAGAGGUGAAAUUCGUAGAUAUUGGAAAGAACACCGGUGGCGAAAGCGGCUACCUGGCCUGAUUUUGACGCUGAGGCUCGAAAGCGUGGGGAGCAAACAGGAUUAGAUACCCUGGUAGUCCACGCCGUAAACGAUGACAGCUAGAUGUCGGGGGGUCGCCCCUCGGUGUCGCCGCUAACGCAUUAAGCUGUCCGCCUGGGAAGUACGGUCGCAAGAUUAAAACUCAAAGGAAUUGACGG